GAAGCUAUAUCCAGUCUAUUACUAGAUCAGUGGUUUUUCUAAACAAAAACAACAUCUUUGUUCUUCUCUUUUCGUUUUUGUCGAAUUGAGAAGAUUGCCUUGUUUAAUUUAUUUCCAUAACCAAUCAGUGUUAUAACAAGUGAAAUCAAAUCUUUGUCAUCGAGUUUUGCUAUAGCUAUCUGAAAGUUUAUCAUAAACAAGUUUCAUGAAAAUUAUUCUGAUGGGUCAUGUUAAUCGAAGCCAACUACGAUCCUGUAAUAUACAUAUACAUUUGCUUUAAGUAUUUUCAAUUCAUGAAUGUUAAAGAAACACAAGAAAUUUCUUAGUUUUCUUACCAAUUGAAGUUAAGGGACGUUGAAUACGAUAUUAUCCUUUGUGUCAAGAGAGCAUAUCCAUUUAUCAACAAUGGCAAUAAUCUUUGCAAAACUAGGGCGCUCACGUCUUUCUCCUCGCCAGCACUUUAGCAUGAGCUGAUGAACUUCUCUUGGACAGCCCUAAGCACAUGAUAUAACGUGUUACUGAGAUAGCAAUCCAAAGAUCCAUUGCUCAUGAAUGACAAUCAAUUGAAAGAUUGGGACCGCAGAGAAGAUAAAUAUCAACAGUCAUGACACCUUCAACUUAGCAAUGUUUUGAUUGUUGAAUUGUCUUAAAUUGAGGCUUCUAUCAUGAAAUCCUUUCAACUCUUUCUGUUUACCUUUGUGUCUACCUUUAUGUCUACCUUUAUGCCUACCUUUAUGGCCUACCUUUGUGUCUACCUUUAUGUUUAUCCUCGUUUAUUGCGGGUUAAUGACGGUUAUUUGUACGACCAACAAUUACAUUCCAUCCCAGAAUAUUAAUAUAGACGACAUAAGCCACAUUUGAAAAAAUCGGCAUGAACGACAUAAAUGACGAAGAGAGACGUAAACGACAUUUCAAAAGAACGACAUGAAUGACAAAAAGACAACAUGAACGACAGGAAGUAACCUAUCAAGUAGUAAGUUUUUGUGCAAAAUAUAAAUACUGAAUAUAAGUAUUGAAGUACUUCUCACUGAGAUACAUGCAUUAUUCAUUAACGCACAGAUAUUUCUAAAUCCAGGUCCGCAGAGACACAAUUCAUAGGUAAAUGAAUCUAGUUAGACGCCAUUUUCUUGAAUGCGCCAUGAUGAAAGCAGUUAUUUAUCUUUUUUUAGAUCAAAACUCGUGCGAUGAUAAAUGCAAGGGAAGAUCAUUCAGCUGCAAAGCUUUUUGUAGAUAGGUCACUCAUAGUUUACAGCUUUACUAUGCUUUGCCUCUUCGUGUAUACGUUGUUAAAAUGAAUAACAAACAGUGCAGGAGUUUUUGGGAAAAUACUUAGCUGCCUUCAAUGUAUUUGUUCCUUGUUUUUACUAACAACAAUAUACAAUUUUGUAUUAGGUAAAUUUCAAUUAAUAUUAUAGUCCUCCUCAUUAUAUUCUUGGACAUUAUUUACAUUUUAUAUGUUUUAUACAGGCACUAGUCUAUGGUCAGUUGUACCCUCGUACCUAUUAUUAUAACGUCAUAACUCGACUUGUGUAAGUUUAUAUAUUCUAAAAGCAACUACUGUAAAAGUUUUUAUUUGUAAUAAUCUUUACUUUGUUGAAUUGAAUAAUUUGAAACUAUUACCUAAAAA
This is a long non-coding RNA of Xenia sp. Carnegie-2017, 1627 nucleotides long. RefSeq lists it as uncharacterized. The record is from RefSeq and is a predicted model, not a curated record. The transcript is spliced from 2 exons. Lineage: Eukaryota; Metazoa; Cnidaria; Anthozoa; Malacalcyonacea; Xeniidae.